Molecule: transfer RNA, 52 nt
Filed under: Psylla alni
Lineage: Eukaryota; Metazoa; Arthropoda; Insecta; Hemiptera; Psyllidae
Description: tRNA-Phe
Source: RNAcentral
UUUCUUUAUAGUUUAGUGAGAAUAGGAUUUUGAAGAAGUCAAGGCAGUUUUA